CCUACGGGAGGCAGCAGUGGGGAAUAUUGCACAAUGGGGGAAACCCUGAUGCAGCGACGCCGCGUGAGUGAAGAAGUAAUUCGUUAUGUACAGCUCUAUCAGCAGGGAAGAAAAUGACGGUACCUGACUAAGAAGCCCCGGCUAACUACGUGCCAGCAGCCGCGGUAAUACGUAGGGGGCAAGCGUUAUCCGGAUUUACUGGGUGUAAAUGGAGCGUAGGCGGCAGUGCAAGUCUGGAGUGAAAGCCCGGGGCUCAACCCCGGGACUGCAUUUGGAACUGUGCGGCUGGAGUGCAGGAGAGGCAGGCGGAAUUCCUAGUGUAGCGGUGAAAUGCGUAGAUAUUAGGAGGAACACCAGUGGCGAAGGCGGCCUGCUGGACGGCGACUGACGUUGAGGCCCGAAAGCGUGGGGAGCAAACAGGAUUAGAUACCCCAGUAGUC
Molecule: ribosomal RNA, 440 nt
Filed under: uncultured bacterium
Lineage: Bacteria
Description: partial 16S ribosomal RNA
Rfam family: Bacterial small subunit ribosomal RNA
Source: RNAcentral